Molecule: ribosomal RNA, 384 nt
Filed under: uncultured eukaryote
Lineage: Eukaryota
Description: SSU rRNA
Rfam family: Eukaryotic small subunit ribosomal RNA
Source: RNAcentral
AGCUCCAAUAGCGUAUAUUAAUGUUGUUGCAGUUAAAAAGCUCGUAGUUGGAUUCCUGGCACGGGGUAGCCGGUCCGCCUUGCAAAAGGUGCGCACUGAGCGGCCUCGGCCAUCCUUGGGAAGAGCGGUCCUGGCAUUCAGUUGUCGGGGCCGGGAUUCCCGACGUUUACUGUGAAAAAUCAGAGUGUUCAACGCAGGCUUACGCCUUGAAUACAUUAGCAUGGAAUAAUGAUAUAGGAUUUCGGUUCUAUUUUGUUGGUUUCUAGAGCUGAAAUAAUGAUUAAUAGGGACAAUUGGGGGCAUUCGUAUUAACGCGUCAGAGGUGAAAUUCUUGGAUUGCGUUACGACGAACUACUGCGAAAGCAUUUGCCAAGGAUGUUUUCA